Molecule: long non-coding RNA, 380 nt
Filed under: Trifolium pratense (red clover)
Lineage: Eukaryota; Viridiplantae; Streptophyta; Magnoliopsida; Fabales; Fabaceae
Description: long non-coding RNA (TPRA_LNC007105)
Source: RNAcentral
CUCUUCAUUCAAAGAUGAAGUUCAAGUUCUCCAAUUUAUGAUGAUUCUGAUUGUGUUAUAAUUUUUCAUUUUAGUUCAUAGUGUAUAUAUAGAUCAUGUUGUAAAGAAUGAGAGGAAAAUUUGUAGAAGCCAAACCAAUGCCCUCACAAAUUUGUGGUCGCCUAUGUCCUCUCAAAUUCUAACAUGUUUUGGAAUUUUGCUCUAUCCAUGUAUAUCAGGUUCAAUUUCUUGAUCAUCUUGAUCUUGGAAGAGUUAAGAAACUAACUACCUAAUUAACAAACUAACUAACUAACUCUAUCCAUGUAUAUCAGGUUCAAUUUCUUGAUCAUCUUGAUCUUGGAAGAGUUAUAAAAUAAAACUGUAUUGAUUUUUCUUNNNNN